AGCGAACAUUGGCGGUAGGCUUAACACAUGCAAGUCGAGCGAGGCGUAAUAGUCGAGCGGCGAACGGGUGAGUAAUACAUGGGAAUCUACCCUGAAGUGGGGGAUAACGUUCAGAAAUGGACGCUAAUACCGCAUAAUCCACAUUGGGAAAGCGUUGCAGCGCUUUAGGAUGAGCCCAUGGCUGAUUAGCUAGUUGGUGAGGUAACGGCUCACCAAGGCGACGAUCAGUAGCUGGUCUGAGAGGAUGAUCAGCCACACUGGAACUGAGACACGGUCCAGACUCCUACGGGAGGCAGCAGUGGGGAAUCUUGCGCAAUGGGGGCAACCCUGACGCAGCCAUACCGCGUGAGUGAUGAAGGUCUUCGGAUUGUAAAGCUCUUUCGGCGGGGACGACGAUGACGGUACCCGCAAAAGAAGUCACGGCUAACUUCGUGCCAGCCGCCGCGGUAA
RNAcentral lists this ribosomal RNA (450 nucleotides) under uncultured bacterium. Its description in RNAcentral is "partial 16S ribosomal RNA". It matches the Rfam family "Bacterial small subunit ribosomal RNA", at positions 29 to 523 of the family's 1533-position model. The record is from RNAcentral.